AGGGCCCUCCAUGCAAGCGCCUUCCUCACUUUAAGGUCGGACGAGUUGACCCACGAGCCCAGGGCGGAGGGUCGUCAGCAUCACCUGGUCAGGUGUGGUUCCUGAUAUAAAAGUUCAACACAAGGAGACCUAUCUUUCCUCACGGGCGCGGCUGCUGUUUUCUUCUGUCUGUUGGAAACAUUUUCAGACAUCCACACGUUUACAUGACUGAUUACUACUGUUAGGAAGGUUACCUGUGAAAUGUAAUACAUUAUGUAACUAUUUAUAUUACUUCAUCAAAGUUAAUGGUAAAUGGACAAUUACAGUUAUUUUGAAAUGUAGUUAUUUAACUUUGCUACAUGUUACUAGUUACUCCCCAACACUGCUUUCACGUUUGUUCCGUGUGUUAAUAAAGAAAUGUAUUUAUUAGUUAUUAA
This is a long non-coding RNA of Cottoperca gobio, 416 nucleotides long. RefSeq lists it as uncharacterized. The transcript has 2 exons. Lineage: Eukaryota; Metazoa; Chordata; Actinopteri; Perciformes; Bovichtidae. The record is from RefSeq and is a predicted model, not a curated record.